GGCCAAUCCCCCUCGUCACACAAUCCCAUCGAAGACGACACCGUUGACAUCAACAAACACCUAAAUCACAGAAUGAAGAAAUCAAAACACGGAAUCCUCCGACAAAAUCGACGACGACGGUGAAGAAAUUCGUCUCGAAACUCGAAGGAUCUACACAACCCAAUUUGAAAUUGCGAAGGAACUGCAAUUUCCUAUCACCGGCGACGGUCGAAAGACCGUCCAGAGAGAGAGAUGGCGGAGUGGUGG
RNAcentral lists this unclassified non-coding RNA (246 nucleotides) under Hevea brasiliensis (rubber tree). Lineage: Eukaryota; Viridiplantae; Streptophyta; Magnoliopsida; Malpighiales; Euphorbiaceae. The record is from RNAcentral.